Molecule: ribosomal RNA, 576 nt
Filed under: Talaromyces purpureogenus
Lineage: Eukaryota; Fungi; Ascomycota; Eurotiomycetes; Eurotiales; Trichocomaceae
Description: partial 18S ribosomal RNA
Rfam family: 5.8S ribosomal RNA (bases 241-394)
Source: RNAcentral
UUUUGGAAGUAAAAAGUCGUAACAAGGUUUCCGUAGGUGAACCUGCGGAAGGAUCAUUACCGAGGUGCGGGCCCUCGUGGCCCAACCUCCCACCCUUGUCUCUAUACACCUGUUGCUUGGGCGGGGCCCACCGGGGCCACCUGGUCGCCGGGGGACAUCUGUCCCCGGGCCCGCGCCCGCCGAAGCGCUCUGUGAACCCUGAUGAAGAAUGGGCUGUCUGAGUACUAUGAAAAUUGUCAAAACUUUCAACAAUGGAUCUCUUGGUUCCGGCAUCGAUGAAGAACGCAGCGAAAUGCGAUAAGUAAUGUGAAUUGCAGAAUUCCGUGAAUCAUCGAAUCUUUGAACGCACAUUGCGCCCCCUGGCAUUCCGGGGGGCAUGCCUGUCCGAGCGUCAUUUCUGCCCUCAAGCACGGCUUGUGUGUUGGGUGCGGUCCCCCCGGGGACCUGCCCGAAAGGCAGCGGCGACGUCCGUCUGGUCCUCGAGCGUAUGGGGCUUUGUCACUCGCUCGGGAAGGACUGGCGGGGGUUGGUCACCACCAAAAUUUUACCACGGUUGACCUCGGAUCAGUUGAGAGA